This 468-nucleotide ribosomal RNA is filed under the name uncultured bacterium. Its description in RNAcentral is "partial 16S ribosomal RNA". It matches the Rfam family "Bacterial small subunit ribosomal RNA", at positions 28 to 507 of the family's 1533-position model. The record is from RNAcentral.
GACGAACGCUGGCGGCGUGCUUAACACAUGCAAGUCGAACGGAAAGGCCCGGCUUUUGUGGGUUGCUCGAUUGCCGAACGGGGGAGUAACACGUGAGUAACCUCCCCUUAACUUUGGGAUAACUUCAGGAAACUGGGGCUAUUACCGGAUAGGAGAUCUUGCACCAUGGUGGGGGUUGGAAAGUUUCGGCGGUGGGGGAUGGACUCGCGGCUUAUGAGCUGGUUGGUGGGGUAGUGGCUUACCAAGGUUUUGACGGGUAGCCGGCCUGAGAGGGUGACCGGCCACAUUGGGACUGAGAUACGGCCCAGACUCCUACGGGAGGCAGCAGUGGGGAAUAUUGCACAAUGGGCGGAAGCCUGAUGCAGCAACGCCGCGUGCGGGAUGACGGCCUUCGGGUUGUAAACCGCUUUCGCCUGUGACGAAGCGUGAGUGACGGUAAUGGGUAAAGAAGCACCGGCUAACUACGUG